ACCUUAUAUAGAUGUAGCGACGCAAGACAGUUGCGCAUUUCCCUGUAAGGUAGUGUUUCAACAGAAGUGUAAACGACAAGUCUUAUUGCGUGGCUAUGAGUCGAAAUAAGAUGAGUUUAUAUGGAAUAGGUUAACCGUAAGACCUUGAAUUGAGAAAUUCUAAAAUUGAUCUAGAUUUCGAAUUUCCGAAAUUUCGUAAUUUCUAGUUACGGUCAU
The submitters of this non-coding RNA (216 nucleotides) gave its source as unclassified sequences. The record is from Rfam.